AGGAGAUGGCACAUCAAGAUACCACUGAUGCGUUCCUAAGUGUACAGCUUCAGCUAGAUGUAAUUCUGCUUUGAGUUUUUUUUUUACAUGCCCACAAAAGGAUGAGCUGCAAAAAAAGUAGAUCAUCAACAUCCGGAGAGAUAAACCCUAACCCCUAACACUGACAGGAAGGAGCGAUCAAAUGCACAAGGGCGCCGGAGGAGCUGUCCCCAUUCUUUUUGAAUGGAAUAAUUACUCCCUUCCUGCACCUCGUCCUGGUGUUUGGGAGCGAAGAAAACGACUAGACUUUCCCUCUGAGGACCCCGAGGAGGUAAUGGAUGUACCAUGUCCUGACCACAAGUACUGCUCCUGUGCUGAGCUGGGUGCAAUGGACUUAAGCCCUCAGUGUUAUAGAGGAAGUCCGGGCGGAGAACGCUGCGCUCCGGAGACGGAUGGAGCAGAUGGAUCAGGAACAAGUUUGGCUUGGAACUGUUUGCUGCUUCAGAUUAGGACAUUAGAUUUUAUACAAGAUCACCCAGCCUCUUUGGCCAUCACAUGCACUUCCUUCUUCUCAAAAAUGACCACUUGUCAAGUCAUCUUUUGUCUUUUUUUCCUCCUCCAACUACACAUCAGCCAAGCACAUUUCAUCUAUUGAUCCACUAUACCUCACUCCCGUCCACAUGUAUUAGGAGAAGCACGUUUCUCCUGUGAUGCUGCUGAUGCUGAUGCUGCUGCUGCUGAUGCUGAUGCUCAGUGCGCGCACAUCAGUAAGUGUAUCACGUAGCACUACAACAGCCUUUCUUCAUGCGCUCUUGCCAGACCUAUUGGAGAAAUAAUACCUCCGGGCAAGAUCUGUCACCGCUAAGUCAUUUGCUGGAAGACGAUCAGAAAGUAUGUUAAAUACACGGGAGUGUGUCACCGAGACGUCGACAGGAUCCCGGUCAGAUGAGCUCACAGCAGAGGGAGCAGGUUUCAACAGUUGACGCGGAGACCUGAGCGCAGCAGCAGCAGGAGCGAUUAAUUUCCAUUAUCCCGAAAUCAUCCAGUAAUCUGCUUUUUUUCCCCCUUCUCUUUCUUACACGGACUGGGUUUGAAGAACAUUGUCCGGAUGAAGGAUGUGAGACCACUGGGUCCAACUGGACUGGAUUAUGGGAUUACUGGACUGAUUAUAGGACAAUCAUCGGGCAAAAGUGGCAGCCUCGCUGUGGAUGCUCUUGAAUGAAGGGGACACAAAAGGUUGGAGAGGAGUAAAAAAAAAAAAGAAAGAAAAGAAGCUGUACAUCGUGCUUUUAUUCCACUUUGCUUUGGGGCUGUGCGUGCUACAGCAGCGGUGCACAAAUGCAACAGUGUGUCGCACAGUAGAGGGAAGUGAAUGCUUUGGGAAUGGCAACGUCGGGCGAUGCUGCAUUUUGAAACGGGCAUGUCAGAGUCUGCUGUAGCCUAGGUGGAGAUGUCGCAUGGGGGCAAUGCGCUUUUGCAAGCUACGAUCUAACCUUCACCACAGAGAUUCAAACGCUUUAACCUUGGAUGCAGAAGGGUGGGUGGGGGGGGGAUAUUAAUACUUUAUAAUCAUCGAUUAUUCAUUAAGUCUCCCCGCUGCGAGGCAAAGAAACAAAAGCAUUUUUGCACACAAAUAUGCUGAAUUUGAGAUUUAA
Gouania willdenowi (blunt-snouted clingfish) is the source of this 1634-nucleotide long non-coding RNA. Lineage: Eukaryota; Metazoa; Chordata; Actinopteri; Blenniiformes; Gobiesocidae. The record is from Ensembl.